Molecule: ribosomal RNA, 796 nt
Filed under: Staphylococcus aureus
Lineage: Bacteria; Bacillati; Bacillota; Bacilli; Caryophanales; Staphylococcaceae
Description: partial 23S ribosomal RNA
Rfam family: Bacterial large subunit ribosomal RNA
Source: RNAcentral
GUGAAAUUCCGUCGGAAUCUGGGAGGACCAUCUCCUAAGGCUAAAUACUCUCUAGUGACCGAUAGUGAACCAGUACCGUGAGGGAAAGGUGAAAAGCACCCCGGAAGGGGAGUGAAAUAGAACCUGAAACCGUGUGCUUACAAGUAGUCAGAGCCCGUUAAUGGGUGAUGGCGUGCCUUUUGUAGAAUGAACCGGCGAGUUACGAUUUGAUGCAAGGUUAAGCAGUAAAUGUGGAGCCGUAGCGAAAGCGAGUCUGAAUAGGGCGUUUAGUAUUUGGUCGUAGACCCGAAACCAGGUGAUCUACCCUUGGUCAGGUUGAAGUUCAGGUAACACUGAAUGGAGGACCGAACCGACUUACGUUGAAAAGUGAGCGGAUGAACUGAGGGUAGCGGAGAAAUUCCAAUCGAACCUGGAGAUAGCUGGUUCUCUCCGAAAUAGCUUUAGGGCUAGCCUCAAGUGAUGAUUAUUGGAGGUAGAGCACUGUUUGGACGAGGGGCCCCUCUCGGGUUACCGAAUUCAGACAAACUCCGAAUGCCAAUUAAUUUAACUUGGGAGUCAGAACAUGGGUGAUAAGGUCCGUGUUCGAAAGGGAAACAGCCCAGACCACCAGCUAAGGUCCCAAAAUAUAUGUUAAGUGGAAAAGGAUGUGGCGUUGCCCAGACAACUAGGAUGUUGGCUUAGAAGCAGCCAUCAUUUAAAGAGUGCGUAAUAGCUCACUAGUCGAGUGACACUGCGCCGAAAAUGUACCGGGGCUAAACAUAUUACCGAAGCUGUGGAUUGUCCUUUGGACAAUGGU